Molecule: ribosomal RNA, 300 nt
Filed under: uncultured Planctomycetota bacterium
Lineage: Bacteria; Pseudomonadati; Planctomycetota
Description: bacterial SSU rRNA
Rfam family: Bacterial small subunit ribosomal RNA
Source: RNAcentral
AAUGAACGUUGGCGGCGUGGAUUAGGCAUGCAAGUCGAGCGGGUAUAGCAAUAUAUCAGCGGCGAAAGGGAGAGUAACGCGUAGUUACGUGCCCCGAGGUCCAGAAUAGCCAGCCGAAAGGCUGGGUAAUGCUGGAUGAUAUCUCCGGAUCAAAGGUGUGAUUCCGCCUCGGGAGCGGACUGCGUCCUACUAGCUAGUUGGCGGGGUAAUGGCCCACCAAGGCGACGAUGGGUAGCGGGUGUGAGAGCAUGACCCGUCUCACUGGGACUGAGACACUGCCCAGACACCUACGGGUGGCUG